GCCGAAGUGGUGGAAUUGGUAGACACGCUGUCUUGAGGGGGCAGUGGCCCUAGGCCGUGCCGGUUCGAGUCCGGCCUUCGGCACCA
This 86-nucleotide transfer RNA is filed under the name Lysobacteraceae bacterium. RNAcentral describes it as "tRNA-Leu". It matches the Rfam family "tRNA". Rfam says of the family: Transfer RNA (tRNA) molecules are approximately 80 nucleotides in length. Lineage: Bacteria; Pseudomonadati; Pseudomonadota; Gammaproteobacteria; Lysobacterales; Lysobacteraceae. The record is from RNAcentral. RNAcentral also lists the same sequence under 2 other names.